Molecule: ribosomal RNA, 501 nt
Filed under: uncultured bacterium
Lineage: Bacteria
Description: bacterial SSU rRNA
Rfam family: Bacterial small subunit ribosomal RNA
Source: RNAcentral
AGAGUUUGAUCAUGGCUCAGAUUGAACGCUGGCGGAAUGCUUACACAUGCAAGUCGAACGGCAGCACGGGGCAACCUGGUGGCGAGUGGCGAACGGGUGAGUAAUACAUCGGAACGUGCCCAAUCGUGGGGGAUAACGUAGCGAAAGUUACGCUAAUACCGCAUACGAUCUACGGAUGAAAGCGGGGGAUCGCAAGACCUCGCGCGAGUGGAGCGGCCGAUGUCAGGUUAGGUAGUUGGUGGGGUAAAGGCUCACCAAGCCAACGAUCUGUAGCUGGUCUGAGAGGACGACCAGCCACACUGGAACUGAGACACGGUCCAGACUCCUACGGGAGGCAGCAGUGGGGAAUUUUGGACAAUGGGCGCAAGCCUGAUCCAGCCAUUCCGCGUGCAGGAUGAAGGCCUUCGGGUUGUAAACUGCUUUUGUACGGAACGAAACGGCGAGCUCUAAUACAGUUUGCUAAUGACGGUACCGUAAGAAUAAGCACCGGCUAACUACGUG